ACCCUACGUUUAAUUUUGGCGCGCGUAAGAAGACUCGCUACCAGUCACAUAGAAGUAUUGUAUGAUUAUAGAGAUUAACUCUUUUCUCCGGGCCUAGUGACUAGUAUUUUAUUUCAGCGGCAGCUGUUUAAAGGUAGGGGGUAUAAAGGGGACUGGGCACAGUGCCAGCAUCCGCGGUUAUUCUGUUCUCUUUUCUUUUUUUUUGGCUGUUAACGAUAUCAAGGUAAUAAAUUGUGUAAAAUCUUUUAUUUUUAGUUACUUGUAUUGUGCGUGUAAGAAGGAGUUAAGUAAGACGUGGAUUAGAUACCCACUUAUUUGUUUUCUUAUUAUGCUGUAGUUUAUAUAACUAAAAAAUUUUGGCAGCGAGCGAACCUAUUCGGGGGAGUGUGCUACGUAAAGGACGAUCCGCCAAUUAAUUAACCAUUUUUAUGCUGGUGUAUAUCUGGUUCAAUAUUAGUGCUGUAAUAGCCGAAUUUGUGUAGGGGUAUUUAAGCCAAGUCUAUGUGCUGCGUAUAAUGGGGGUUUGUGCAUUACAAUUAUAAGGUGAAGAAGGUAGGAAGCUUUAUUGUUUUAGGACUCGAUAGUAAUGUUAUUUCAGUUUGAUGACGUGAAUUAAGUUUAGCUUGGGUACACACCGCCCGUCACCCUCGUCUUUUGCUGAGGUAAGUCGUAACAUGGUAGCCCCAGAUGAAUCUGGGGCUAAGUGGGUGUUAGUGUCAGAGUUACAUGAGUUAG
This 735-nucleotide ribosomal RNA is filed under the name Khawia sinensis. Its description in RNAcentral is "12S ribosomal RNA". Lineage: Eukaryota; Metazoa; Platyhelminthes; Cestoda; Caryophyllidea; Lytocestidae. The record is from RNAcentral.